UUUUGCGCAAUGCACGAAAGUGUGACGCAGCAACGCCGCGUGGGGGAAGAAGGCUCUCGGGUCGUAAACCCCUUUCAGUUGGGCCCAAGCUUCGUCGGUUAAUAGCCGGCUGGAGUGACGGUACCUUCACAAGAAGCACCGGCUAACUACGUGCCAGCAGCCGCGGUAAUACGUAGGGUGCAAGCGUUGUCCGGAAUCAUUGGGCGUAAAGAGCGUGUAGGCGGCCCGAUUAGUCCGCUGUGAAAGUCCAGGGCUCAACCCUGGAAUGCCGGUGGAUACUGUCGGGCUCGAGUCCGGAAGAGGCGAGUGGAAUUCCUGGUGUAGCGGUGAAAUGCGCAGAUAUCAGGAAGAACACCAACGGCGAAGGCAGCUCGCUGGGCGGUACGAUGCUAGACGCGAAA
This 401-nucleotide ribosomal RNA is filed under the name uncultured bacterium. Its description in RNAcentral is "bacterial SSU rRNA". It matches the Rfam family "Bacterial small subunit ribosomal RNA", at positions 362 to 758 of the family's 1533-position model. The record is from RNAcentral.